UAUAAUGGUCCAAUGAAGGUAAUUUAAAAAACAGGACAUUUCCUCACUUUCUAAAAAAAAACCCGGGACGCCCCGGACAGGACGUGAAAUACGGACAUGUCCCGGGAAAUACGGACGUUUGGUCACCCUAUAAGACAUCUUUACAAGUAGUUACUGUAGUUUGCAUUGCAUUAUGGGUAUAGUACAUAGUAUUACAGUAAUUUACUGUAUGUUUUGAAUUUGCAGUAAUUUACUGUUUACACAUUACAGUAGUGGUACUGUACUUAUAAUAUACAGUAAGAAUUAUAUUUGAUUUCCAACGGUCAUCAUAGCUGCUUCAUCGUGGUUCCCUGUUUCUGUAUUUUUACUCCUUUAGUGGUUAACAUAUUUUUAAGGCAGAAAGAGAGCAUGUACUUUUGUUUUUUUCACAUCCUAGCUAACAUUAAUAUGCAGUUUAUCUAGCUACGUCAUCAAGCGUGGCUUCGCUUCCAACUGUUUUCUGAUGACGUUUGUUUUAAACUCCGAAGCUUUUUCCCUCCAAGUGCAGCUCUGUCUCCGUGCUGUGGGCUCACACUGCUUCAGCUCUUCAAGACAGAUGACUUUUUUUUAACUCCCAAGCUUUUUCCCUCCAAGUGGCUGUGCAGUUCUGUCCUGCUGACUGCUAACAUAGCUUCAUCUCUUCAAAAGACAAGACAACAGGUAUCUUCCACCAAGAUGUCUGUUGAAAUGGAAAUGACCUUACCCACUACACCAAGGGUAAUCAUGCUUGGAAAUAGCUUGAUGUCUGCAACCCGGUGGAUGGUCAGUAUGGAGGAGAAGGUAUUUUUCGAGCCUGAGCAACUACAUGACUUUGCCAGCGUCCUUGCUGUCUUUUUUGGGUCAUAUUCUGUCUUCAAUCUGGAGUAUCAGGAGUCAGCAUCCACCACGCUGGAGAUGAUACAAUG
Long non-coding RNA from Xiphophorus couchianus (Monterrey platyfish), 923 nucleotides. RefSeq lists it as uncharacterized. The record is from RefSeq and is a predicted model, not a curated record. NCBI's taxonomy places the organism in Eukaryota, Metazoa, Chordata, Actinopteri, Cyprinodontiformes, Poeciliidae. The transcript has 4 exons.